Gasterosteus aculeatus (three-spined stickleback) is the source of this 4989-nucleotide long non-coding RNA. The record is from Ensembl. NCBI's taxonomy places the organism in Eukaryota, Metazoa, Chordata, Actinopteri, Perciformes, Gasterosteidae.
AACUUUGCAGAGGUUCUGUCGCCCAGUGAGCCGACCGGAACCGACCCGGAACACUCGUCUCAGAAACGGAUAAAAAGUCUACUCGACCGUACAGAAGCGGAUCAGGUCCUGGUACCGGUCGUGCUGGCUCCGGUCCCGGUGCUUCAGCUGGCCCACGAUGUGUCUCUUCCAGGCCUCCGUCGACCGGGCCCGGGGCAGCGCGGGCGCCGCGUCCCGGCCGCCGUGCCGCGGGACUCGGGGUGAAUCCGCCAUGACUGCGCGCGGCCCGGGCAGCCUCCUGCGGUCUCCCCGCUGACAGACGCCCCUACACCGGCACGGAGCUACAGGCGGCCGCGUGGUGAGCGUCGGGUUCUCCGCCCCGCCGCCAUGUUGCUCGCUCUUCUUCCUCCUCCUCCUCUCUGGUGUUUGUUGUUGUUGUUGUUCUCACUAUCUUUCCUAGAGAUGUGUCACUGACAGGAGGCGGGGCUGCAAACUGCCGGGUCUUUCAGCCAAUCAACGCCCGCCGUUCGUUUCCGGGUUACAUUUGAGACGGCAGACAGGACACGCCCCCCUAAAGGAGACGCCGGGGUUUUAACGUCAUUGAUCAUUUCAUUUUCAUAAAUAAAUAUUUGUUGUUUAGUAAAGACAAAUUUAAACAGCCGUUUGUCAAUCAAAUAACACAAAAUAGCCUUUUGGCUGUAUUUAUUUAAAUAAAUAAUCAUAGUGAGGUAUAAGGAAUAGGCGGGUUAUAGAAGCAAAAGAAAGAAAUAUUGAACUUUGACACAUUUAUUAAGGAACAUAUAAAACAAGGAUUUAUGUACAAUGAUUGCGAUUCAAAACACUUAAAAACAGAUGAAAUGUCACAAAAACUAACUAAAAGGUGCUUUAAAUGUAAUACUGAUAAAGUGAGGGUUGUCCUCUCUCUUAGCGUUGGUCCCGGAUCAGAGCCGGUUCAGCUUGUUCUGGGUCAUCUGAACCAGCAGGUGCACGGCUCGUCUCGCCGUCUGUCUCAGCUCGUUGGCGAUCUGCUGACAGUGCUGAAGACUGACAGACUGCUCCUCCUGCUGAUCGUCUUCACCUGUAAACACACACAGGGUUCAGCACGUACCAGAGUCCGUCCUCUCCGAUCAGCUCGGCCCAUGUGACAGGAAGUUACCCAGCUGAAGGAGGCGGGACUUCUCUGACAGAGGAGAGGAGGAGGAAGGCGGGCCGUCUGUUACGGAAGACAAAAAAGGUGUCAAGAGGUCAUUUAUGUAUUAUAAUAAAAUAUGAGGUAAGAUGUAAUUGAGAAAAAGUUAAAGAAAAUAAAUGUAUUUUGGAAAAGUUAAUUUAAUAUUAUGAAAAUAUACAUAUUUGUUUAGGGGCGGUCAACAUUAACUUGUAUUAACAUGUUAACUUAUGCCAGAGGUCACUAACUGGCGGAUCGCUGUCCGGAUCCACAAGCCGUCCCACAAGCUUAACAAAAAAUAAAGACAUGAUUUAAACGUGACAUCACACUUUUGUUCCGGCGCAGCUUUACUCGUCUUUACGCUCGUGGCUUAAAGCACCGACCAAUAGCAUUCGAGUCGUGAUGCUACUCGACCAAUCGGGUCUUUGCAUUCCAGCAGGAUGAUGAUAUCGUCUUAAUACUGCAGACAGACGAGAGACGCAGCGGCAAAUUAGAAAUAAAAAGACAGCGACAUUUGAGAAAAAGACGAGUGAGACGGAAAGAGACGGGUGAGACACAUGAGGAACAAGUGGACAGUGAAAGUCGAGCAUUUAAUCCUCAAUGGACGGACUGGUUUCUAUUCAUACUUCCCACUGCAGCACUGAACCAGUGUGUCAUGAGCUCAGAACCCGUUAAAACGUCAUCGUGAGGCACAAUGAGCUCCUCCACGUGAGAGGAGAUCGGCCCUGAUGCAUUAAGACCAGGUUUAACAUCCUGCAGGGAAAAUACAUCUUAAUUCUCCCACUCACCAAAAAAGAGUGUAUAUAUAUAUAUAUUCUAUUAUUGUCAAAAUGUGUUUAGAUUCAUUAUUUAGGAUUUGCUGACUGUUCAAUAAUGAAGCAGAAAUUCAAGCUUUUCAUUCUAGUUAUUUCAUUUUUCGUGUAUUGAUUAAAUGCAAAUGUUACACUAUUUAAUCACACUCGGUCACAUUAUGAUCUUCUGGACCUUCGCUUCUAGAAAUCUUCUUUAACGGCACCUCUUCAUAUUUUAGUUGAAUUUCCCUGCGUUAUGCGAUUAUGUGGCAGAGAUUAAUGCGAUAAAACAUUUUAACGCAGUUAUCACAACUUUGUUUACUUGCGGUGUGCCGGAGGUAAACAAAGAAACCGCCGCCAGCGGCAGUCAGUUAGAUGGAGAGAACGUUUGCAUUAGAAGAAAAACAGAAGAACUGUGCAGAGGAAUUCUUCCACAAACAGAAGGGGGACGAGUGCAAAUGGACCACUUUACGCACUGCGAGGCUAAGCUAGCUGCUAGGCUAAGCUAGCUGCUAGGCUACUUCCAUCUAACGUUACCCUGCAGAGGACCACCACUGUCAAAAAAAACAAACUUUUAAUCGCAAUUUAAUUUCAGAAUGAAUCAGUAAAUUAGUUUUAUUAAGUGAGAAUCACAAUGCGUUUGUAAUGAAUCAUAAAAACAAUGCCGUACCUCGACUAGUCGGGAUUCGGGUCUGGGAUCCUCCGGAACCUUCUCCCCGCCCCACGAAGUCAGACGGGUCGCUGUCACAGAAUGUGGGCGUGUCUGUGGCGGGGGAGGCGGGGCUGAGGGUGAAGGUCUGGUUGUGACUGGUCAGAGUCUCUUCGAUGCUGCUGAUGCUGCUCAACCUCCUGACUCCGCCCUCUGGCACCAGCGGGCUCGCCGUGGGUCGCCGUGACGACAGAGUGACGCUGACAGACGAGAGACGGGAAUUGAAUACACCUUCGUUAAAAUAUUACGUUAUUCAAAAAAUAUUUUCACCCAACUUCAAAACUGUUAACGAGGUGUCAAACUCGACCAAUUAAAAGUUUAAAUCUUGUAGAAGAAGUAAUCACUUUAGAACGUGUGUUUUAGACACUGUUGAAUUGUACUUUUAAAAAAUGACAAACAUUUCCCAUCAAACUGACUGCAGCAUGGCGGUUUUAGGGGUCAGGGGUCGUGAUAGAACUAUAUUAAUGUGUCCCUGCAGAUGGAGGGAGACGCCAUGAGGACACGGAUAUGCGCUGCGUCCCCAGCCUGCAGCCUUCUGGCUGAACCGAGCGUCUCUGGAAUGGGACGUCUGUCCUACGGGGGACUUCAUGAGUCAUCAGCUACUGCUCCUGUUGCCUAGCAACCUGCUGAGCUCGACAGUAAAAGUCUUAAAAGCCAAAUUACAGAAAAAUAUCUUAUUUCAUUUAAUUUAGGAAGAAAAGCUUCUCCUGCGGAGCUCGAUAUACUUCAGGCUGAGAGAAGAACCCAACUAAGUUAGUUUAAGAGUUCAGGUUCUGUGUCUUUAUUCUGUAACGAUACUGAAGUUAUGAACCUGAAAUAUCACUUUCUAAGAACGAGGACGAGUGACGUACGCGGUGGACCAAUCCGUCCUUAAGGAUGCAGCCUAGAGACACAGCUAUUGUGAGACGCCCACUAGGGAAGGCUGCAGAGAUCUGGACAGACAGGAGUCAUUGUGACACUGAUGGUAAAAGGUUUAGGACAAGACAAUGUAGAGACACCAGCUGUGGGACAACGGUCUCGUGUUUGUGUGCACAGACAGAACGGAGGGUCAGCAGACUGAGACCGUUAGUUUAGCAUCAACAACCAGAUAGAGGGACAAGGAGCAGAAGAGUGGGACGACAGGAGGAGACAUGAUGGACGGGUGGGUCCUCAGCUCCAGUCAGUGAGUGAGAGGACAAUUAGAAAAGAGUUCAAACUGAAUAAAUGAAUCCACAACAUAUCGCUCACAGUAAAUGAACUACUUUGGCAUUAGAGACAUUUAAGUCCCUUAAGACCUGGAGGACGUUACCUGCUGGUCUGGUCCUGAUGCUGGUCCAGACCAGCAGGAGAACACAGGUCUGAGGAGCACAUGUUCUCCUCCUCCUCCUGGGGGCCGAGGCUGGGGGGGGGGGUCCUGGGUCAGUUUGGCCCUGGAGCUGGCUGUGGUUCCCAGGUAGCCGAGCCGGAGCGCCCCCUGCUGGGCCGAUGAUGUCACCUGACUGGAGGUGACGUCUGGUUGGUGAAAGGAGAAUCAGGUGAGCUUUCACUUCUCAGUGGUCAUACGCUUCAGGGCCCACACCGCCAGGGGGAAGUGACGGACAGAUUGACCUCUGACCUUGUGAAGAAAGCCCGAAAACCAACCAACCAACCAACCAACCUCCCACACACACACACACACACACCUCGCAGUGCCUCUCUGCACUGGACGGCCACCAUGGAGUGUCGGCGGCGGCGUGUUGGGCGGCGAAGGGACUGAUGGGAAAUGAUGGAGGAGGCUGUACGACAAAGGACUGAGUGGCUGCGUUUCACUGAUGACACACACACACACACACGCACACACACACACACACACACGCACGCACACACCUCUGAAUAAUCCGCCAUGACCCGACGUGUUAUUUGACACAAAUUUGACUCCUCCCACUGGGGAGGCGGGACCUCUAGGACCAUGAUGCAUCGUGGGUAGUCAAUCAAACGCUGGCAGGGAAACUGAGGUGCAGACGUCCUGUUGACAGAUUCAACUCACCAACGUUGCUGCUGCUUUCUUUCCGAGGCGACUCCGUCAGGGCGCCGCCCCCUCUCGGCUCGGCGCCGACCUGUGGACAAACACCAGGUGUCAGAGAGCAGCGGAUCGGGUCAGCGGCGCCACGUGUGCUUCAGGCGCGCUCUACCGAUGUGUUGCUUACGCCGCUCUCUUCAGAGAUUCUGGACGGGAUGGUCACAGGGGGCGGAGCUCGGCUCGGCCACACCCUAAAAACAAGGCGGGAGAAGGUCUGUUAUCCCCAUGAGGACGGUUCACCGCCCCUGAGGAUUGUGGGUAGACUGACCUGAUCCGGUCCUGGAACCGAGACAGGAAGCGAGUG